GUAACUCUGCAACAGGUCCAACUCAGUAACAUGACAGUAACUCUGCAACAAGUCCAACUCAGUAACAUGACAGUAACUCUGCAACAAGUCCAACUCAGUAACAUGACAGUAACUCUGCAACAAGUCCAACUCAGUAACAUGACAGUAACUCUGCAACAAGUCCAACUCAGUAACAUGACAGUAACUCUGCAACAAGUCCAACUCAGUAACAUGACAGUAACUCUGCAACAAGUCCAACUCAGUAACAUGACAGUAACUCUGCAACAAGUCCAACUCAGUAACAUGACAGUAACUCUGCAACAAGUCCAACUCAGUAACAUGACAGUAACUCUGCAACAAGUCCAACUCAGUAACAUGACAGUAACUCUGCAACAAGUCCAACUCAGUAACAUGACAGUAACUCUGCAACAAGUCCAACUCAGCAACAAGACAGUAACUCUGCAACAAGUCCAACAAGUCCAACUCAGUAACAUGACAGUAACUCUGCAACAAGUCCAACUCAGUAACAUGACAGUAACUCUGCAACAAGUCCAACUCAGUAACAUGACAGUAACUCUGCAACAAGUCCAACUCAGUAACAUGACAGUAACUCUGCAACAUUUUUGUCCAAACUUUUGACGAGUACUGUAAAUAAAUUAUUUGAUAAAAAGUAUAAAGUAUUUCCAAAUCAAAUAAAAUGUAUUUGGUCACAUACACAUACAUGUUAUUGCGAGUGUAGCGAAAUCCAGGGACCCUCUGCACACAUCAAUAACAGUCACCCUCGAAGCAUCGUUACCCAUCGCUCCACAUAAUCCGCUACUACUUCGAGGUCUCAGAGCAAGUGACGUCCCAAUUGAAACGCUAACCAAGCUAUCCGUUACACUGGUGCCUCUAGUUCCGACCAUGCAGUAAUAUCUAACAAGUAAUCUAACCAUUUCAGAACAGCUACUUUAUACACACACAAGUGUAAAGGAAAUGAAUAAGAAUAUGUCAUCAACUGUCUCUCGGCUCCUCAACAUGAUCAUCUGUUUCCUGGCCAUGUUUUAUGAUUUAUCAACUCUCUCCACGUUCGCUCAACAUUCCUCCCUACUUUUUGUUGAAUAAUGAGACGGAAAGGACACCAUC
Oncorhynchus keta (chum salmon) is the source of this 1104-nucleotide long non-coding RNA. RefSeq lists it as uncharacterized. The transcript has 3 exons. The record is from RefSeq and is a predicted model, not a curated record. Lineage: Eukaryota; Metazoa; Chordata; Actinopteri; Salmoniformes; Salmonidae.